Molecule: long non-coding RNA, 2230 nt
Organism: Arabidopsis lyrata subsp. lyrata
Lineage: Eukaryota; Viridiplantae; Streptophyta; Magnoliopsida; Brassicales; Brassicaceae
Exons: 10
Source: RefSeq, a predicted model, not a curated record
AGUUACACAUAUUACACAUACAUAUAGUAGAUUUCUUCUACUCACCAUACUCACUCUCUUAGACUCUAAACUUAGUCACUAUUUGACCUUACUUCUAGACUUUAGACUUAAGCAUACAAGCAACCUUACACAACCUUACCUUAGCUACUAACAAUCCCAACAACUCUCAACUACUCUAGCUUAAGUACUUUAGCUAGAAUAAGAUACAUAAGCUAAUUCUACGAAUGGGCCACAAAGAAACAUACUUCACCACUUUGGGCCUAUACUAACUUCAUUAGCCCAAUAAGACAAAACACAAAAACCCACUUCUCUUGUUGACUUUUCUUCUUCUUCUUCUCAUGUCUUCUCUCUUACGACCAAGCCGACCACUUCGUCUUCUUCUUCAAGGUUUCAAUCUUCUUGUUCUUCAUCAUCGUUUGACUCAUAGUAGUUUUCUCUUUUGCAGGCUCAAUCGAAAACUCAACUCUCAACACUCCCUCUUGAGUUUUCGAUUUGAGGUCUCGAUUCCAAGUUAGAAUUUUGAAUCUUGAUGCUUUUACUUCUUCGGUACUGGUUCCUUUUCUCUUCAUCGAAGGAGAACUCUUCAGGGCAUCGGCAUAACUCAUCGAAACUCUGGGGAGAAAUCUAUGUCUCCAAACUUGAAUGCACACGAUUCUCCAAUUAGAGUUCUCUUCUCUAAUCCACUUUUGCUCCCUCUCAAUCUUAGAACUUCUCUGGUUCUUAACUUCAACCACUUGCUUUUGAUUCACGACUUCAGUUUUUGACUCCUUUUGAUUUGCAGCUUUGGUAAGCCCAGCUCCUCGGUGACCUGAUUCAGCAUCUUUAUUCACAACCACCAUUGUUGCUUCUUCACUUGACGACAUCUUAAGAUGAAAACUUUUGUUGACCAUUGGUAUCUCGGCUAUCUUUCUCCCAGCUGGAUCAUGAAUGGUACAGCCUUUUUGAUCAAAGCACAGCUCCAUUACCUACAAGUAUAGGAACAUUGAAGCUUGUGUUGAGAUUUGAGAAUAGCUUUUCAUCUGAAGUCAUAUGAUUUGUGCAUCCACUAUCAAUGAGCCAGACAUUCUCUUCAGUCUUUCAUUAGAUGACCCACUUUGCCACAGUGAAAACAACUCCAAUUCCUAGUGUCUCUGUUUCUGUUGAAAUCAGACUUCUGAACCGUGCAUGAAAGGCUCCUUCUGCAUCUUCUUCAUCUUCAGGGAAGAAUUUCUUUUCAUGUGCCUCAAGAGAUCCAAGCAGCUCAGCAUAGGUAACUGUUUUUAGAUCCUUAGUUUCUUCCAUUAAGGAUGACAGACCAGCAUAACUUUUUGGCAUAGAGGCCAGCAUUUUUACCACUAAAUCAAAGUUUGAUUUUCCUUCACCUAGAGCUCUCAUCUGAUUUGCUACAGCCUGAAUCCUAUCCGAAGUGCUCCAGGAGUUUCCAUGCUUGGUGUGAUGAAGAUGCAGAGAGGAUCUUGUCAAACACCACAUCAGCCACAGCAUGCUGAAUAAUUUGAAGAGCAGCAGUGUCUUUAGCUUUUAGGGCCUUCAGGGCAGCAUCUUUUCCUUUAUCUGGAGUUUCAGUUGAUUGAGCUGUAGCUUCUAGUACUCCAUCUUUGACGACUUCCCAUAGAUCUUUAUUCAAGAGUGUAGUUUUCAUUCUUGCAGCCCAGAACUCAUAGUUCUGACCAUCAAAGACUGCAACCAGUUGAUGAGAGGACUGCAAGUUCAACGCCAUGCUCCAAGAACAAGAUGAGCUCUGAUACCAUGUUGUUUUUCUGCUUAGAUCACAGGUUUGUUUUGUUUUUCUCUUAAACUUUCAUACUUUCAUAUUCGAUAAGUUACACAUAUUACACAUACAUAUAGUAGAUUUCUUCUACUCACCAUACUCACUCUCUUAGACUCUAAACUUAGUCACUAUUUGACCUUACUUCUAGACUUUAGACUUAAGCAUACAAGCAACCUUACACAACCUUACCUUAGCUACUAACAAUCCCAACAACUCUCAACUACUCUAGCUUAAGUACUUUAGCUAGAAUAAGAUACAUAAGCUAAUUCUACGAAUGGGCCACAAAGAAACAUACUUCACCACUUUGGGCCUAUACUAACUUCAUUAGCCCAAUAAGACAAAACACAAAAACCCACUUCUCUUGUUGACUUUUCUUCUUCUUCUUCUCAUGUCUUCUCUCUUACGACCAAGCCGACCACUUCGUCUUCUUCUUCAAGGUUUCAAUCUUCUUGUUCUUCAUCA